UAAAUCGUAUAGAGGUUACGUGUAUGUGC
RNAcentral lists this small RNA (29 nucleotides) under Bombyx mori (domestic silkworm). Its description in RNAcentral is "ovarian small RNA-18472". Lineage: Eukaryota; Metazoa; Arthropoda; Insecta; Lepidoptera; Bombycidae. The record is from RNAcentral.